UACGGAGGAUGCAAGCGUUAUCCGGAAUUAUUGGGCGUAAAGCGUCCGCAGGUGGUUGGUCAAGUCUGCUGUCAAAGCGUGGAGCUCAACUCCAUAAGGGCGGUGGAAACUGAUUAACUAGAGGAUGGUAGGGGUCACGGGAAUUCCCAGUGUAGCGGUGAAAUGCGUAGAUAUUGGGAAGAACACCAGCGGCGAAAGCGCGUGACUGGGCCAUUACUGACACUCAUGGACGAAAGCUAGGGGAGCGAAAGGG
Molecule: ribosomal RNA, 253 nt
Filed under: uncultured bacterium
Lineage: Bacteria
Description: partial 16S ribosomal RNA
Rfam family: Bacterial small subunit ribosomal RNA
Source: RNAcentral